UACGUAGGGGGCAAGCGUUGUCCGGAUUUAUUGGGCGUAAAGAGCGUGUAGGCGGUUUGGUAGGUCCGCUGUGAAAACUCGAGGCUCAACCUCGAGACGCCGGUGGAAACCAUCAGACUAGAGUCCGGAAGAGGAGAGUGGAAUUCCUGGUGUAGCGGUGAAAUGCGCAGAUAUCGGGAAGAACACCCGUGGCGAAGGCGGCACUCUGGGACGGUACUGACGCUGAGACGCGAAAGCGUGGGGAGCGAACAGG
RNAcentral lists this ribosomal RNA (253 nucleotides) under uncultured bacterium. RNAcentral's name for it is "partial 16S ribosomal RNA". It matches the Rfam family "Bacterial small subunit ribosomal RNA", at positions 524 to 776 of the family's 1533-position model. The record is from RNAcentral.